GGAUAUAGAUUCCAAAAGCCUAGAUGGCUGCAAGGAAGGAAUGUUCUAAUUAAACAGACUACAUAGGAAAGCUAAAGGAAACGCCCAGUGCAUUUAAGAAUCUGCAAUAGUAACCUCAACCUCCACACCGGGUUCAAUUGUGAUGGAGGUGAUCUGCUUAACUACAUCUGGAGAGCUGAAGAGAUCAAUCACUCGCUUGUGAACACGAAGCUCAAAUCUGUCCCAAGUGUUGGUUCCUGUGAAUCAAAAAGUGAGCCACAAUGAUUUAGAAUUGGGAGAAGUUCCAUGUCAAGAAAUAAAUAGCCUGUGGCACUUCAUUUGCUAUGGAAAUGACAGCCUUAAGCAAAACAUCACUCUUCAAAACACAUGCUAAGAAUUAGUCAGGUACAAGGAACUAGAGAUAAGAUACAUAGAGAAUAUAAAACCCAAAAGCAAGAGAAGCUACUAUACUCGCAACUGUUCUAAAAGGGAUUAUAAAAUAAAUAUAAUGGAUAAGAUAUCCUGAACACUGUCAAGCUCUGAAGACCUUAAAUGAGCUAGGCAUACUAAAGAGAUGAAAUUCAGAUAGGUGGAGCAACAAGUACCCAACAAUAGAAUACACCUAUUUUAGUGUAUUGUUUGUGUAGAUAAUUAACAUUCACAUCAGAACAUAAACUGCUUAUGGGAUUAUUCAUUUAUUUUUAUAGGCAGAAAGAUAUGAACAGGGUUGAUGUUUUUGAUAUUUACUACAGAAAAGAGGAAUAGCACUGGUUAAUUUAGCACCCUCUCAAGCAUUGAAAAUCCAAUACUCUGUUUACCUCUUAAGACCAAAAAAGACCUCAUCACAUCAGGAACCAGCCCCAGAAACUGGUGGUCUAUCCUGAGAUUGCAACAUCCCAUGUACCCACUACUUUCAGUAUCCAUAACACACAAAUCAAUACUCUUUUAAAUAAUAGUGAAUUAGUAAAAAAAAGGUAAUUUCCUAGAGUCAGAAAUUAAACCAUAAUAGAGAAUGGAUAUUUCAUCACAUAGAUUUUACUGUUCACAUAGUUGAAUAUGAUAUGCCAUUUAUUUUGGAGAUCUCCCUCCACUAUAAUUUCAUAUAUAACUAAUGCACAACCCAAUAGCUAAGAUGAGAAGCAUAAACAAAAACUAAAAUAAGGUUCACUUGUGAAUAGCUCUAUCCAGUUGGUUUCAAAAUCAAUACCUUCACCACAGGGAGAUUUCCUGGUAGUGAUGUGAAGAACCUUGGUGGGCAUUCUCACAGGUCCCUUGACCCUCAACCUCUUGUCCUUGGCACCACGAACCAAAUCAGCGCACACUGUGGACAAUAAAUCCAAAAACAAACAAAGAAAGUUAAAAUGAAAACUAGCCAUCCUAAUAGAAAGUUAAACAAAUGUUCAGACUGGUUUACACCAAUUAAUCAGAAAAUACAAAGUACCAGAAAAUGAUGCUACAUUAUGAAGAGAAUCAAAUGGGGCUGAUGUGAUUAAAACAAUAAAAACAAAAUUAAAAUUAAAAUACAUUGAUUCCUAAUUCUGUUAAUUUCAUUGCAUCCACUGUAUGUAUUAUCUUCAGGGUGGUUUUCCUGGUUUUUAGAGCUUUGGAAAGCAGAAAAUGUUUUUUCUUUAAAAAAAAUAUUUGUACACAUUACCCAAAAAUAAAUUUACAUGAUCAAAAUGGGUUUGAUUAUGCAUGUAAAUCAUAUUAGAAUAACAAGAAAUUACAAUAAAACAAAAUAUAAUAUAAAUAACAAGAAAGAAUAAAACAAGCUUAACAUAGAGAAGAUCAAUUCUGAAAAAAUUAAACAUUAAAUGGAUAUAAUAACAGGUAAGAAUAAAAAAAGACCUUUCUCAAGGUUCUUGACAUUCUUGGAGGACAAGGUGAUCCUGAUCUUAUGAAUAGCCUCCUGGGGUUCCUCCAACCCAGGCUUUGUUGGUUUCAUUGCUGCAUACGCCAUGGUCCCUUUGUCUGCUUUAGAUUUGAUGCAUGAAAUAUAAAUUAUACGUUAGUUUAGAAAAGAUAUGUCAAAUUUGAACAUAGACAAGAAAUCAACAAAAAUUUUCCUUUCACUCCAUGUCGUUGCCCAGAAAAUAUACAUAGCUAACUGAAUUAAAUUUUCAGUUAGUCAAUGAUUGGACUAAAGAGUGUGAGAGAACAUUAAAAGAAAAAAAAGAAGAAGAAAUUGAAGGCAAAAAUUUGAAGGCAAAACACAGGGGGUUUAGACAAAACGGACCACAAAACAUAUUAUAUAACAGAUUUUUCCCUCAAUUAUCCCAGCAACCAAACUUCUUCCUCAUUAAAUCAAACAGAAUUUUUACGACACCCAAAAUAAUAGGAAAUACAGAAUUUGAAACGACAUUAAUCUCAUGUUUCGAGUUUUCUCAGCAAGCAAACAAAGGUUUAGUUCUUCCAAAUCAAAUCAUAAUAAACCAUACCCAUAAACCAGAACAUUUAAACUCGAUUUGAAGUCCAUUUUCUUUUCCUCGAUUUUGUAACACCAAAGCAAAGUACAGGAUCUCCUAAUCAUAUGCCGCAAAACGAUUUGCAAAAGGAUACAAAACAACAUCCACUAUACGAUUUACAAUAUCGAAAUCCAAUCUAGAUCCAAUUACCAAAAGAAUACCAAACACAAAAAAUGCAUCAAAAAAGUUGCUGUUUUCUCUAUUUUCUCGACAAACGAAGAAAAGGUAAUCAUAGAGAGGGUCGAAUAGUAACGAGAGAAUGUGAAAGGCAAUCACCUGGCCUGAAGCUCUGGAGCUGAGGAGAGAAGGCGGCUUCUACUCUGAAG
RNAcentral lists this long non-coding RNA (2770 nucleotides) under Vitis vinifera (wine grape). RNAcentral describes it as "long non-coding RNA (VVIN_LNC005451)". Lineage: Eukaryota; Viridiplantae; Streptophyta; Magnoliopsida; Vitales; Vitaceae. The record is from RNAcentral.